This 59-nucleotide microRNA precursor is filed under the name Sphenodon punctatus (tuatara). RNAcentral's name for it is "Spt-Mir-130-P1a_pre stem-loop". The record is from RNAcentral. Lineage: Eukaryota; Metazoa; Chordata; Lepidosauria; Sphenodontia; Sphenodontidae.
GCCCUUUUUCUGUUGUACUACUGGCAGUUAUGAUGAGCAGUGCAAUAUUAAAAGGGCAU